Molecule: ribosomal RNA, 587 nt
Filed under: uncultured Anoxybacillus sp.
Lineage: Bacteria; Bacillati; Bacillota; Bacilli; Caryophanales; Anoxybacillaceae
Also listed under: 1 other name
Description: bacterial SSU rRNA
Rfam family: Bacterial small subunit ribosomal RNA
Source: RNAcentral
CCUACGGGAGGCAGCAGUAGGGAAUCUUCCGCAAUGGACGAAAGUCUGACGGAGCAACGCCGCGUGAGCGAAGAAGGCCUUCGGGUCGUAAAGCUCUGUUGUUAGGGAAGAACAAGUAACGCAGUAACUGGCGUUACCGUGACGGUACCUAACGAGAAAGCCACGGCUAACUACGUGCCAGCAGCCGCGGUAAUACGUAGGUGGCAAGCGUUGUCCGGAAUUAUUGGGCGUAAAGCGCGCGCAGGCGGUUCCUUAAGUCUGAUGUGAAAGCCCACGGCUCAACCGUGGAGGGUCAUUGGAAACUGGGGGACUUGAGUGCAGAAGAGGAGAGCGGAAUUCCACGUGUAGCGGUGAAAUGCGUAGAGAUGUGGAGGAACACCAGUGGCGAAGGCGGCUCUCUGGUCUGUAACUGACGCUGAGGCGCGAAAGCGUGGGGAGCAAACAGGAUUAGAUACCCUGGUAGUCCACGCCGUAAACGAUGAGUGCUAAGUGUUAGAGGGUAUCCACCCUUUAGUGCUGUAGCUAACGCAUUAAGCACUCCGCCUGGGGAGUACGCUCGCAAGAGUGAAACUCAAAGGAAUUGACGG